This 352-nucleotide unclassified non-coding RNA is filed under the name soil metagenome. Its description in RNAcentral is "partial contains 5.8S ribosomal RNA, internal transcribed spacer 2, and large subunit ribosomal RNA". The stretch from base 1 to 120 matches the Rfam family "5.8S ribosomal RNA", at positions 35 to 154 of the family's 154-position model. The record is from RNAcentral.
GAUGAAGAACGCAGCGAAAUGCGAUAAGUAAUGUGAAUUGCAGAAUUCAGUGAAUCAUCGAAUCUUUGAACGCACAUUGCGCCCGCCAGCAUUCUGGCGGGCAUGCCUGUUCGAGCGUCAUUACAACCCUCAGGCCCCCGGGCCUGGCGUUGGGGAUCGGCGGAGCCCCCCGUGGGCACACGCCGUCCCCCAAAUACAGUGGCGGUCCCGCCGCAGCUUCCAUCGCGUAGUAGCUAACACCUCGCGACUGGAGAGCGGCGCGGCCACGCCGUAAAACACCCAACUCUUCUGAAGUUGACCUCGAAUCAGGUAGGAAUACCCGCUGAACUUAAGCAUAUCAAUAAGCGGAGGA